AUUGAACGCUGGCGGCAUGCCUAACACAUGCAAGUCGAACGGCAGCACAGCAGUAGCAAUACUGUGGGUGGCGAGUGGCGGACGGGUGAGGAAUACGUCGGAAUCUGCCCAGUCGUGGGGGAUAACUAGCCGAAAGGUUAGCUAAUACCGCAUACGACCGAGAGGUGAAAGCGGGGGACCGCAAGGCCUCGCGCGAUUGGAUGAGCCGACGUCGGAUUAGCUAGUUGGUGGGGUAAAGGCCUACCAAGGCGACGAUCCGUAGCUGGUCUGAGAGGAUGAUCAGCCACACUGGAACUGAGACACGGUCCAGACUCCUACGGGAGGCAGCAGUGGGGAAUAUUGGACAAUGGGCGCAAGCCUGAUCCAGCAAUGCCGCGUGUGUGAAGAAGGCCUCGGUUGUAAGCACUUUAUCUAGACGAAAGACGACGGACGUAA
RNAcentral lists this ribosomal RNA (435 nucleotides) under uncultured bacterium. RNAcentral's name for it is "bacterial SSU rRNA". It matches the Rfam family "Bacterial small subunit ribosomal RNA", at positions 29 to 464 of the family's 1533-position model. The record is from RNAcentral.